GAUUGCGAAGGCAGCUUGCUGGACUGUAACUGACGNUGAGGCACGAAAGCGUGGGGAUCAAACAGGAUUAGAUACCCNGGUANNCCACGCCGUAAACGAUGANUGCUAGCUGUUAGCGAUAUACUGUUAGCGGCACAGAGAAAUCGUUAAGCAUUCCACCUGGGGAGUACGCCGGCAACGGUGAAACUCAAAGGGAUUGACGGGGGCCCGCACAAGCGGAGGAACAUGUGGUUUAAUUCGAUGAUACGCGAGGAACCUUACCUGGGCUUAAAUUGCAGUGGAAUAACGUGGAAACAUGUUAGCCUUCGGGCCGCUGUGAAGGUGCUGCAUGGUUGUCGUCAGCUCGUGCCGUGAGGUGUCGGCUUAAGUGCCAUAACGAGCGCAACCCUCAUCGAUAGUUACUAACAGGUUAAGCUGAGGACUCUAUCGAGACUGCCGACGUAAGUCGUGAGGAAGGUGGGGAUGACGUCAAAUCAGCACGGCCCUUACGUCCAGGGCUACACACGUGUUACAAUGGGGGGUACAAAGGGCAGCUACCUGGCGACAGGAUGCUAAUCUCAAAAACCUCUCUCAGUUCGGAUUGGAGUCUGCAACCCGACUCCAUGAAGCUGGAUUCGCUAGUAAUCGCGCAUCAGCCACGGCGCGGUGAAUACGUUCCCGGGCCUUGUACACACCGCCCGUCAAGCCAUGGGAGCCGGGGGGACCUGAAGUAUGCAACCGUAAGGAGCGUCCUAGGGUAAAACUGGUGACUGGGGCU
RNAcentral lists this ribosomal RNA (757 nucleotides) under uncultured prokaryote. RNAcentral's name for it is "bacterial SSU rRNA". It matches the Rfam family "Bacterial small subunit ribosomal RNA", at positions 711 to 1482 of the family's 1533-position model. The record is from RNAcentral.